AGGACAGUGUAUGGUGGGCAGUUUGACUGGGGCGGUCUCCUCCUAAAGAGUAACGGAGGAGUACGAAGGUGCGCUCAGACCGGUCGGAAAUCGGUCGUAGAGUAUAAAGGCAAAAGCGCGCUUGACUGCGAGACAGACACGUCGAGCAGGUACGAAAGUAGGUCUUAGUGAUCCGGUGGUUCUGUAUGGAAGGGCCAUCGCUCAACGGAUAAAAGGUACUCCGGGGAUAACAGGCUGAUACCGCCCAAGAGUUCAUAUCGACGGCGGUGUUUGGCACCUCGAUGUCGGCUCAUCACAUCCUGGGGCUGAAGCCGGUCCCAAGGGUAUGGCUGUUCGCCAUUUAAAGUGGUACGCGAGCUGGGUUUAGAACGUCGUGAGACAGUUCGGUCCCUAUCUGCCGUGGACGUUUGAGAUUUGAGAGGGGCUGCUCCUAGUACGAGAGGACCGGAGUGGACGAACCUCUGGUGUUCCGGUUGUCACGCCAGUGGCAUUGCCGGGUAGCUAUGUUCGGAAAAGAUAACCGCUGAAAGCAUCUAAGCGGGAAACUUGCCUCAAGAUGAGAUCUCACUGGGAACUUGAUUCCCCUGAAGGGCCGUCGAAGACUACGACGUUGAUAGGCUGGGUGUGUAAGCGUUGUGAGGCGUUGAGCUAACCAGUACUAAUUGCCCGUGAGGCUUGACCAU
RNAcentral lists this ribosomal RNA (683 nucleotides) under Pseudomonas aeruginosa. Its description in RNAcentral is "partial 23S ribosomal RNA". It matches the Rfam family "Bacterial large subunit ribosomal RNA", at positions 2248 to 2925 of the family's 2925-position model. Lineage: Bacteria; Pseudomonadati; Pseudomonadota; Gammaproteobacteria; Pseudomonadales; Pseudomonadaceae. The record is from RNAcentral.